Molecule: ribosomal RNA, 251 nt
Filed under: uncultured prokaryote
Description: partial 16S rRNA
Rfam family: Bacterial small subunit ribosomal RNA
Source: RNAcentral
ACGGAGGGUGCAAGCGUUAUUCGGAAUUACUGGGCGUAAAGCGCGUGUAGGCGGUCCUGCAAGUCUGAUGUGAAAGCCCCGGGCUUAACCCGGGAAGUGCAGUGGAAACUGUGAGUCUUGAGUACGGGCGAGGAUGGCGGAAUGCGUGGUGUAGCGGUGAAAUUCGUAGAGAUCGGGCGGAACACCAGUGGCGAAGGCGGCCAUCUGGACGGUAACUGACGCUGAGACGCGAAAGCGUGGGGAGCAAACAG